Molecule: ribosomal RNA, 469 nt
Filed under: uncultured Diversispora
Lineage: Eukaryota; Fungi; Glomeromycota; Glomeromycetes; Diversisporales; Diversisporaceae
Description: SSU rRNA
Rfam family: Eukaryotic small subunit ribosomal RNA
Source: RNAcentral
AGCAGCCGCGGUAAUUCCAGCUCCAAUAGCGUAUAUUAAAGUUGUUGCAGUUAAAAAGCUCGUAGUUGAACUUCGGAAUUUGCCCAUUGGUCAGGCUUAACUGUCUGCACUGGUGUGACGAGUUCCUACCUUCUGAGGAAUCUCCAUGUCAUUCAGUUGGUGUGGGGGGAAAUCAGGACUGUUACUUUGAAAAAUUAGAGUGUUUAAAGCAGGCGUCCGUCUGAAUACAUUAGCAUGGAAUAAUAAAAUAGGACGGUUUGGUUCUAUUUUGUUGGUUUCUAGGAUCACCGUAAUGAUUAAUAGGGAUAGUUGGGGGCAUUAGUAUUCAAUUGUCAGAGGUGAAAUUCUUGGAUUUAUUGAAGACUAACUACUGCGAAAGCAUUUGCCAAGGAUGUUUUCAUUAAUCAAGAACGAAAGUUAGGGGAUCGAAGACGAUCAGAUACCGUCGUAGUCUUAACCAUAAACUAUG